UGAUCCAGAGUACCACGGGACACGUGAAACCCUGUGGGAAGCAGGAGGGACCAUCCUCCAAGGCUAAAUACUACUUAGUGACCGAUAGCGCAUAGUACCGUGAGGGAAAGGUGAAAAGAACCCCGGGAGGGGAGUGAAAUAGAACCUGAAACCCUGCGCUUACAAGCUGUGGAAGCACUUUAUAUGUGUGACCGCGUACUUUUUGUAGAACGGGCCAACGAGUUACGAUAGUAAGCUAGGUUAAGUACUUAAGGUAUGGAGCCGUAGUGAAAGCGAGUCUUAAAUGGGCGUUAAGUUUGCUGUCGUAGACCCGAAACCGAGCGACCUAUCCAUGAGCAGGAUGAAGCGAAAGUAAAAUUUCGUGGAGGUCCGAACCCACGAGCGUUGAAAAGCUCGGGGAUGACUUGUGGAUAGCGGUGAAAUUCCAAUCGAGCUCGGAGAUAGCUGGUUCUCCCCGAAAUAGCUUUAGGGCUAGCCUCAAGGUUGAGAAAUACGGAGGUAGAGCACUGAAUAUCCUAGGGGGCAUUGCGCUUACCGAAGAUUAUCAAACUCCGAAUGCCGUUAUUUUAUACUUGGGAGUCAGACUGUGGGUAAUAAGAUUCAUAGUCGAGAGGGCAACAGCCCAGAUCGUCAGCUAAGGUCCCUAAAUGUAAGUUAAGUGGUAAAGGAUGUGGGAUUGCAUAGACAACCAGGAUGUUGGCUUAGAAGCAGCCACUCAUUUAAAGAGUGCGUAAUAGCUCACUGGUCGAGUGAUCCUGCGCCGAAGAUUACCGGGGCUAAAACUUACUACCGAAGCUACGAUAUCAUUUAUGAUAGGUAGGGGAGCUUCCUAUGCAGGCUGAAGCAUGACCGUAAGGACGUGUGGACAGUAUAGGAGUGAGAAUGUUGGCAUGAGUAGCGAGACGUGGGUGAGAAUCCCACGGGCCGUAAACCCAAGGUUUCCAGGGGAAGGUUCGUCCGCCCUGGGUUAGUCGGGACCUAAGCCGAGGCCGAAAGGCGUAGGUGAUGGACAACAGGUUGAGAUUCCUGUACCACCGAUAAUCGUUUGAGAGAUGGAAUGACACAGUAGGAUAAGCUAACCACACUGUUGGUUAUGUGUGGCUAAGUACUGAGGCAGUCAAGGCAGGCAAAUCCGCCAUGAUAAUGCUGGGGUACGAUGGGGAGCGAAAUUAAGUAGCGAAGUAGCUGAUUUCACACUGUCGAGAAAAGUUUCUAUCGAGAUUAAAGGUGCCCGUACCGCAAACCGACACAGGUGGGUGAGGAGAGUAUCCUAAGGCCAGCGAGAGAACUGUUGUUAAGGAACUCGGCAAAAUGACCCCGUAACUUAGG
This 1329-nucleotide ribosomal RNA is filed under the name Veillonella sp. Its description in RNAcentral is "partial 23S ribosomal RNA". It matches the Rfam family "Bacterial large subunit ribosomal RNA", at positions 403 to 1739 of the family's 2925-position model. The record is from RNAcentral. Lineage: Bacteria; Bacillati; Bacillota; Negativicutes; Veillonellales; Veillonellaceae.